UCCAUACACUCCGUCUCCUGAAGGGGAAGCGGGCUCUUCUCAGAUGCACAGGGACAAUGUGAAAAUCCUGUCCUCAGAUUGAGAGGCUGUUUCGUGGGCACCGAAUUCGGGGUCAGGAAAGCAGCCUGCAUCCACGAGUAUCCUCGGGUUACUAAGUGGGGCCAGUGGCUCCAGGUGUAACCCAUUUAAGUUUGCCAGACAGCCGGGAUGUUCUGGUGAAGGAUCUGAAGUGUAUGGCCACACCAGUCCCAGAAGAGCCUGGGAGAAGGGAAGAUGGUGAACACAGUGGAGUUCUGCUGCAAAGCCGAAGAUGGUUCUGGCACGUGGCAUGACCCACAUGACUCAACAUCAGGAGAUCUGACUUCAUAAAAGUGAACUAUCACAAUGCUGCUUUGCAAGCUGUGUGUGAGUGUAAAAGCGUUGAAACUUCCUCAAUAAAUGAAAAGAUAUCUUU
Long non-coding RNA from Homo sapiens (human), 454 nucleotides. RefSeq annotates it as long independently transcribed non-coding RNA 111. The record is from RefSeq and is marked validated. NCBI's taxonomy places the organism in Eukaryota, Metazoa, Chordata, Mammalia, Primates, Hominidae. The transcript has 3 exons.